This 377-nucleotide unclassified non-coding RNA is filed under the name uncultured Cryptosporangiaceae bacterium. RNAcentral describes it as "contains 16S-23S intergenic spacer region". The record is from RNAcentral. Lineage: Bacteria; Bacillati; Actinomycetota; Actinomycetes; Cryptosporangiales; Cryptosporangiaceae.
UCCGAGUUGACCCCGGCAGUCUCUAAUGAGUCCCCACCAUUACGUGCUGGCAACAUUAGACGAGGGUUGCGCUCGUUGCGGGACUUAACCCAACAUCUCACGACACGAGCUGACGACAACCAUGCACCACCUGUAUAGGGCCCUUGCGGACCUCAUAUCUCUAUGAGAUUUCCCUAUAUGUCAAGCCUUGGUAAGGUUCUUCGCGUUGCGUCGAAUUAAGCCGCAUGCUCCGCCGCUUGUGCGGGCCCCCGUCAAUUCCUUUGAGUUUUAGCCUUGCGGCCGUACUCCCCAGGCGGGGCGCUUAAUGCGUUAGCUGCGGCACGGAGAACGUGGAAUGUUCCCCACACCUAGCGCCCAACGUUUACGGCGUGGACUAC